This 2904-nucleotide ribosomal RNA is filed under the name Klebsiella oxytoca. RNAcentral describes it as "bacterial LSU rRNA". It matches the Rfam family "Bacterial large subunit ribosomal RNA". Lineage: Bacteria; Pseudomonadati; Pseudomonadota; Gammaproteobacteria; Enterobacterales; Enterobacteriaceae. The record is from RNAcentral.
UUAAGCGACUAAGCGUACACGGUGGAUGCCCUGGCAGUCAGAGGCGAUGAAGGACGUGCUAAUCUGCGAAAAGCGUCGGUAAGGUGAUAUGAACCGUUAUAACCGGCGAUGUCCGAAUGGGGAAACCCAGUGCAAUUCGUUGCACUAUCGUUUGAUGAAUACAUAGUCAAACGAGGCGAACCGGGGGAACUGAAACAUCUAAGUACCCCGAGGAAAAGAAAUCAACCGAGAUUCCCCCAGUAGCGGCGAGCGAACGGGGAGCAGCCCGGAGUCUGAAUCAGCUUGUGUGUUAGUGGAAGCGUCUGGAAAGUCGCAGGGUACAGGGUGAUACUCCCGUACACUAAAACACACAGGUUGUGAACUCGAAGAGUAGGGCGGGACACGUGGUAUCCUGUCUGAAUAUGGGGGGACCAUCCUCCAAGGCUAAAUACUCCUGACUGACCGAUAGUGAACCAGUACCGUGAGGGAAAGGCGAAAAGAACCCCGGCGAGGGGAGUGAAAAAGAACCUGAAACCGUGUACGUACAAGCAGUAGGAGCCCACUAGUUGGGUGACUGCGUACCUUUUGUAUAAUGGGUCAGCGACUUAUAUUCUGUAGCAAGGUUAACCGAAUAGGGGAGCCGCAGGGAAACCGAGUCUUAACUGGGCGUUAAGUUGCAGGGUAUAGACCCGAAACCCGGUGAUCUAGCCAUGGGCAGGUUGAAGGUUGGGUAACACUAACUGGAGGACCGAACCGACUAAUGUUGAAAAAUUAGCGGAUGACUUGUGGCUGGGGGUGAAAGGCCAAUCAAACCGGGAGAUAGCUGGUUCUCCCCGAAAGCUAUUUAGGUAGCGCCUCGUGAACUCAUCUUCGGGGGUAGAGCACUGUUUCGGCUAGGGGGUCAUCCCGACUUACCAACCCGAUGCAAACUACGAAUACCGAAGAAUGUUAUCACGGGAGACACACGGCGGGUGCUAACGUCCGUCGUGAAGAGGGAAACAACCCAGACCGCCAGCUAAGGUCCCAAAGUCAUGGUUAAGUGGGAAACGAUGUGGGAAGGCCCAGACAGCCAGGAUGUUGGCUUAGAAGCAGCCAUCAUUUAAAGAAAGCGUAAUAGCUCACUGGUCGAGUCGGCCUGCGCGGAAGAUGUAACGGGGCUAAACCAUGCACCGAAGCUGCGGCAGCGACACUAUGUGUUGUUGGGUAGGGGAGCGUUCUGUAAGCCGUUGAAGGUGGCCUGUGAGGGUUGCUGGAGGUAUCAGAAGUGCGAAUGCUGACAUAAGUAACGAUAAUGCGGGUGAAAAACCCGCACGCCGGAAGACCAAGGGUUCCUGUCCAACGUUAAUCGGGGCAGGGUGAGUCGACCCCUAAGGCGAGGCCGAAAGGCGUAGUCGAUGGGAAACAGGUUAAUAUUCCUGUACUUGGUGUUACUGCGAAGGGGGGACGGAGAAGGCUAUGUUGGCCGGGCGACGGUUGUCCCGGUUUAAGCAUGUAGGCGGAUGUUCCAGGUAAAUCCGGAACGUCACUAACGCUGAGGUGUGAUGACGAGGCACUACGGUGCUGAAGUGACAAAUGCCCUGCUUCCAGGAAAAGCCUCUAAGCAUCAGGUAACAUCAAAUCGUACCCCAAACCGACACAGGUGGUCAGGUAGAGAAUACCAAGGCGCUUGAGAGAACUCGGGUGAAGGAACUAGGCAAAAUGGUGCCGUAACUUCGGGAGAAGGCACGCUGAUGGUAGGUGAAGUGACUUGCUCAUGGAGCUGAAAUCAGUCGAAGAUACCAGCUGGCUGCAACUGUUUAUUAAAAACACAGCACUGUGCAAACACGAAAGUGGACGUAUACGGUGUGACGCCUGCCCGGUGCCGGAAGGUUAAUUGAUGGGGUUAUCCUCACGGAGAAGCUCUUGAUCGAAGCCCCGGUAAACGGCGGCCGUAACUAUAACGGUCCUAAGGUAGCGAAAUUCCUUGUCGGGUAAGUUCCGACCUGCACGAAUGGCGUAAUGAUGGCCAGGCUGUCUCCACCCGAGACUCAGUGAAAUUGAACUCGCUGUGAAGAUGCAGUGUACCCGCGGCAAGACGGAAAGACCCCGUGAACCUUUACUAUAGCUUGACACUGAACACUGGUCCUUGAUGUGUAGGAUAGGUGGGAGGCUUUGAAGUGUGGACGCCAGUCUGCAUGGAGCCAUCCUUGAAAUACCACCCUUUAAUGGCUGGUGUUCUAACGUGGGCCCCUAAUCGGGGUUGCGGACAGUGUCUGGUGGGUAGUUUGACUGGGGCGGUCUCCUCCUAAAGAGUAACGGAGGAGCACGAAGGUCAGCUAAUCCUGGUCGGACAUCAGGAGGUUAGUGCAAUGGCAUAAGCUGGCUUGACUGCGAGCGUGACGGCGCGAGCAGGUGCGAAAGCAGGUCAUAGUGAUCCGGUGGUUCUGAAUGGAAGGGCCAUCGCUCAACGGAUAAAAGGUACUCCGGGGAUAACAGGCUGAUACCGCCCAAGAGUUCAUAUCGACGGCGGUGUUUGGCACCUCGAUGUCGGCUCAUCACAUCCUGGGGCUGAAGUAGGUCCCAAGGGUAUGGCUGUUCGCCAUUUAAAGUGGUACGCGAGCUGGGUUUAGAACGUCGUGAGACAGUUCGGUCCCUAUCUGCCGUGGGCGCUGGAGAAUUGAGGGGGGCUGCUCCUAGUACGAGAGGACCGGAGUGGACGCAUCACUGGUGUUCGGGUUGUCAUGCCAAUGGCAUUGCCCGGUAGCUAAAUGCGGAAGAGAUAAGUGCUGAAAGCAUCUAAGCACGAAACUUGCCCCGAGAUGAGUUCUCCCUGACUCCUUGAGAGUCCUGAAGGAACGUUGAAGACGACGACGUUGAUAGGCCGGGUGUGUAAGCGCAGCGAUGCGUUGAGCUAACCGGUACUAAUGAACCGUGAGGCUUAACCUU